Long non-coding RNA from Oreochromis aureus, 1971 nucleotides. Lineage: Eukaryota; Metazoa; Chordata; Actinopteri; Cichliformes; Cichlidae. The record is from Ensembl.
UCGUGGUUUUUGUAUUAUUGUACUUGUGUUAUUCUAUGGUUUCUAGUUUUGAUCCCUUGCCCUUCAUGUUUCUGUGUCCCCUCGGUUCUGUGUAAGUCUGUGUCUUUGCAUGUUUGAGUUUUGUUGUUUUCUGUCACUCUGUAUUGUGAAUUAUGUUCUCAUGGUUGGUCUUUUGUUACUCUCUCGAGUCUAGUUUCUUGUGUUCCAAGCUUAGUAUUUCCCUCUGUGUAUUUUGGUUCUUAGACCUCUGCCUUAUGGUUUAUGUCUCUGUGUUUCUUAGUUGCUGUCUUCACUGUGCCAAGUUCGUGUCUCUGUGUCAUACUUCCUGUUAUACUUUGAAGGUCCAUGUCUUAUGUGAAUGUGUCCUGCUUUGCUUCCUUGUCUCGUCAGUCCUGAUUUCUCCCAGCUGUGCCCUCCUUCUGUGUCUCAUUCCCCUCGUUACUUCCCAGUGUAUUUAAACCCUGUGUUUUUCUGAGUCAGUGUCGUGUUGUCCCUCAAGUUGUGUGUUUCCUUGUGUGCCUCUCUGCAAAGUGUAAGUUUAUAUUCUUCCCAGUUUAGUUUUGUUUGCUUUCCCCUGUCAACAAAUAAAGCUGAGUUUUUUGAGUUCAUCCCUCGAGUCUGAGUACCUGCAUCUGGGGUCCAACGCCUGCCUGCCACACAGCGAUUCUUGACAGAACGACGCGACCAGACAUGGACUCAGCAGGCUCCUCCCGGGAAAGCGAUUUGGCCCGCAUCUUCAGUCUGUGGAAGCGAGUUUCCCACGCCUCGGACACUAAAACAAUGUCCAUUGGGAUAAAUGCCAUCGAGGCAAUUCUCAAGGGGAAUCCCCAUCUUCGCGAGCUCUCAGGAUUUUUGGGCCUACUUUCCAAUCUGCAUAAAGCCAAGGAGGCGGUACGAGCUUGCCGUGCCGCAGCAACAGUCGCUAAUGGAGCUCGUCAUACCGCAACAGCGACCGCCACAAUUGGAAAACAUUUCCAUGCCGCUGCCACAGAACUCCUCUCCAUCCACCCUCCGCUCUGACUGUCACUCACCCGCUGCUUUUCUCGCAGCAAUGUGGUCGGAGGAUGAGGAGCCGACCGUGACCUCUCCGUCGUUGCCAGUUUCCUCCAUCCCUGCACCUCCUGCUUCCCGAAGAAAACAGCGUUCACUCCGCCGACACCCACCGCCACAGCCGGACCCCAAGACUUCUGAGCUGCCGGCUGUGCCGAGAAAUGCGCAGUGUUUGAUAGCUUGCUGCGAGACCUCACACCGUGCACAUCUACUGCGGGUGUGGUGCCUGUUAUCGGACACGGAGUUAGCAACAUCCCCGAAAAACCCGAAGAGGAGAGUCCUGGCCCCUAGCCCUGUCAGCGUAGCAGAAAUGAUGAUGGCAGCAGCAGCCGUUCUCCUCUGCCUUUUCACCUACGCAAAUCAAGCCUCGGUCUUCAGACGUGAAGACAUCUACCAGAGUCUCAAUCCAGUCAGCAGGGAUCGUAACCAGCUCUAUUCUACACUCGUGCCCAAUUAGGAUGUGCAGUUUUUGAAUUUUUAAGUGUGCACAGUGUAAUUGGUUUUUUUGGUUUUUUUUGGAGUUAAUCUUGGAAGAAUUAAGCUUGUCAUGUAGCCAUGACACAGUCUGACCCAAGACGGUAUACAUUUCCUGUGAGUAAUCCUUCCUUCCUUCCUGUGUUUAUUUCAGGAGUUAGAGCUCAAUAUAAGGGUUAAGUCUAAAGUCUGCACAUUUAACCUCAUUGCAUAUUACUCACCACAUUAUGAUUUAAAAUUUUUGAUGUCAUAAAAAGCAUUUGUAUCAUAAAACAAGUGAACAGAUUUUUUUUUUUUCACAUUUUUACACCUGUAAUUUUCUGUUCAAUAAAAGAACGUUUUGAUCUCAUAUGGCUGGAAUUUGCUCACUUGGGGAAAAAAUAUAAACUGAUUAAAAAAAAAACAUCCUAAAAUUGUUGUAUUUUAAAUGUUUUUAUGUUAACGAAC